This is a long non-coding RNA of Mytilus californianus (California mussel), 91 nucleotides long. RefSeq lists it as uncharacterized. NCBI's taxonomy places the organism in Eukaryota, Metazoa, Mollusca, Bivalvia, Mytilida, Mytilidae. The transcript has 3 exons. The record is from RefSeq and is a predicted model, not a curated record.
CAAAGGUAACAUUGGGAAAAUUAUAUUACAUAUCCCAAAGGUAACAUUGUGAAAAUUAUAUUACACAUCACAAAGGUAACUUUGUGAAAAU